UGCCGACCGAGCGGCACAAAACAGGCAUUAGGCUCGGUGCGUUCCUCCGCCACACCACAAGCGGAGGAGGUUGUA
Molecule: ribozyme, 75 nt
Filed under: unclassified sequences
Description: pistol ribozyme
Rfam family: Pistol ribozyme
Source: RNAcentral